This 1023-nucleotide long non-coding RNA is filed under the name Phasianus colchicus (ring-necked pheasant). RNAcentral's name for it is "lncRNA (ENSPCLG00000014720.1)". Lineage: Eukaryota; Metazoa; Chordata; Aves; Galliformes; Phasianidae. The record is from RNAcentral.
UCUCCAUCCUCAUCUUCCUCUUCCAUCCUCCUCCUCCUCCUCCUUCUCCUCUACCUCUUCUUCCUCCCUCUCCAUGGGCCCCGCUCCGGGCUCCGCGCGGUGCGGGUGCCGAGCGCUAACCCCCGCCCCGUGCCCGGCGGCGUGUGCGGGUGUGCAAUUGCACACUUCCUGCGGUGUGUGCGACCCGGCCCCGGUUUCCGGUAGCUGACAGCCGCCGCAGCCUGUCCCUGCCUCCUCCGGCGGUAGUGCCGCCGAGCCGGGCAGCGCGCACGGACACGGACACGCACACGCACAGGAGGAGGAGGAGGAGGAGGGAAGAGGAGAAAGGACCGGAGCACUCCCAGCACCAUCACCUAUCCCCCCAUGCGAUACGGGCGGCAUCGCGCAGCCCCGCUCUCCCGCGGACAGGCACCUGCAGCACGCUGGGGUUGUGUGACACUGAGCUGCCUGCCAGGUUAGACCACAGCAACCGCUCAGGGAGAAGAAUGCUAAAGCCCAAGCAAUUCUCUGUAAACAAUUUCAGCAUCUUUAGCUAAGUUAUGUUACAAUUCCUUGCUCUUCUUUAUUUACUGAACAAAUGGUUAAUGUUUACUUAAUUUUUUCUUCUUUUUCUCUCUGUUCACUUAGUUGAAUGACCUAUGUCACAUCUGAUUUUUUUUAUUUUUAUUUUUUUGUAAAGAAAUGAGUAUCAGAGAAAAAACUGCAAGGUCUGCUGGAAAGUCCUUGCACUGAAGAUCUGGGAAACUGAGGGCUUCUGAUGUUUUGUGGGUGAGGUCUUACCUGGAAAGUACCUGUUGCAUGUAGGUGGAAAGCACGAAAAGAUGAGCAUAAGACAAGCCUUGUGUUUUUAUGUUUGACCUGAAAUAUUACAGGAUUCGUGGCCUUGAUGACAGAUGUCUAUGUGCUGCAAAUGUGUAGAUAAUUGUGAUGAAAAUGACAAAUGUUUAUCUUCAAUAGAAUUGUAGUUUGGAUCUGUGAAGCAAGAAGAUGUAGUAAAAAUAAAAUCUUAGUUCACAAAGUUCA